Molecule: ribosomal RNA, 465 nt
Filed under: uncultured bacterium
Lineage: Bacteria
Description: partial 16S ribosomal RNA
Rfam family: Bacterial small subunit ribosomal RNA
Source: RNAcentral
CCUACGGGUGGCAGCAGUAGGGAAUCUUCCACAAUGGGCGCAAGCCUGAUGGAGCAACACCGCGUGAGUGAAGAAGGGUUUCGGCUCGUAAAGCUCUGUUGUUGGAGAAGAACGUGCGUGAGAGUAACUGUUCACGCAGUGACGGUAUCCAACCAGAAAGUCAAGGCUAACUACGUGCCAGCAGCCGCGGUAAUACGUAGGUGGCAAGCGUUAUCCGGAUUUAGUGGGCGUAAAGCGAGCGCAGGCGGUUGCUUAGGUAUGAUGUGAAAGCCUUCGGCUUAACCGAAGAAGUGCAUCGGAAACCGGGCAACUUGAGUGCAGAAGAGGACAGUGGAACUCCAUGUGUAGCGGUGGAAUGCGUAGAUAUAUGGAAGAACACCAGUGGCGAAGGCGGCUGUCUGGUCUGCAACUGACGCUGAGGCUCGAAAGCAUGGGUAGCGAACAGGAUUAGAUACCCCUGUAGUC